Molecule: ribosomal RNA, 579 nt
Filed under: Vishniacozyma victoriae
Lineage: Eukaryota; Fungi; Basidiomycota; Tremellomycetes; Tremellales; Bulleribasidiaceae
Description: eukaryotic LSU rRNA
Rfam family: Eukaryotic large subunit ribosomal RNA
Source: RNAcentral
UACGGCGAGUGACCGGGAUGAGCUCAAAUUUAAAAUCUGGCGUCUUUCAGGCGUCCGAGUUGUAAUCUAUAGAGGCGUUUUCCGCGCCGGACCGCGUCCAAGUCUCUUGGAAUAGAGUAUCAAAGAGGGUGACAAUCCCGUACUUGACGCGACAACCGGUGCUCUGUGAUACGUUCUCAAUGAGUCGAGUUGUUUGGGAAUGCAGCUCUAAAUGGGUGGUAAAUUCCAUCUAAGGCUAAAUAUUGGCGAGAGACCGAUAGCGAACAAGUACCGUGAGGGAAAGAUGAAAAGCACUUUGGAAAGAGAGUUAAACAGCACGUGAAAUUGUUAAAAGGGAAACGAUUGAAGUCAGUCGUGUGAAAGGUAUUCAGCCGUCUCUGGCGGUGUAUUUGCCUUUCACGGGUCAACAUCAGUUUGAUCCGGUAGAAAAAGGCAGGAGGAAGGUGGCACCCUCGGGUGUGUUAUAGCCUCUUGUCAUAUGUGCCGGACCAGACUGAGGAACGCAGCUUGCCGCAAGGCCGGGGUUCGCCCACGUACAAGCUUAGGAUGUUGACAUAAUGGCUUUAAACGACCCGUCUU